Molecule: ribosomal RNA, 433 nt
Filed under: uncultured bacterium
Lineage: Bacteria
Description: partial 16S ribosomal RNA
Rfam family: Bacterial small subunit ribosomal RNA
Source: RNAcentral
AACGAACGCUGGCGGCAUGCCUAACACAUGCAAGUCGAACGAGACCUUCGGGUCUAGUGGCGCACGGGUGCGUAGCGCGUGGGAACCUGCCCUUAGGUUCGGAAUAACUCCCCGAAAGGGGUGCUAAUACCGGAUAAUGUCCUCGAAUCAAAGAUUUAUCGCCUUUGGAUGGGCCCGCGUUGUAUUAGCUAGUUGGGAGGGUAAAAGCCUACCAAGGCGACGAUCCAUAGCUGGUCUGAGAGGAUGAGCAGCGACACUGGGAGUGAGACACGGCUCAGACUCCUACGGGAGGCAGCAGAAGGGAAUAUUGGACAAUGGGCGAAAGCCUGAUCCAGCAAUGCCUCGUGAGUGAUGAAGGCCUUAGGGUUGUAAAGCUCUUUUACCCGGGAUGAUAAUGACAGUACCGGGAGAAUAAGCCCCGGCUAACCCCGUG